GUGCCAGCAGCCGCGGUAAGACGAACCGUGCGAACGUUGUUCGGAUUCACUGGGCUUAAAGGGCGCGUAGGCGGGGGUUCAAGUCGGUGGUGAAAUCUUUCGGCCCAACCGGAAAAUCGCCUCCGAUACUGGAUCUCUUGAGGGGGGUAGGGGCAUGCGGAACUUCGGGUGGAGCGGUGAAAUGCGUAGAUAUCCGAAGGAACGCCGGUGGCGAAAGCGGCGUGCUGGACCCUUUCUGACGCUGAGGCGCGAAAGCCAGGGGAGCAAACGGGAUUAGAUACCCCGGUAGUCC
RNAcentral lists this ribosomal RNA (292 nucleotides) under uncultured bacterium. RNAcentral's name for it is "partial 16S ribosomal RNA". It matches the Rfam family "Bacterial small subunit ribosomal RNA", at positions 505 to 796 of the family's 1533-position model. The record is from RNAcentral.